Octopus sinensis (East Asian common octopus) is the source of this 1246-nucleotide long non-coding RNA. RefSeq lists it as uncharacterized. The transcript has 2 exons. NCBI's taxonomy places the organism in Eukaryota, Metazoa, Mollusca, Cephalopoda, Octopoda, Octopodidae. The record is from RefSeq and is a predicted model, not a curated record.
AGUCGACCUCGGCGGAAUUUGAACUCAGAACGUAACGACAGACGAAAUACCGCUAAGCAUUCCGCCCGGCGCGCUAACGUUUCUGCCACGUUCAACUUGUACAAUACAAAGUUAACUUUGUUUUGACUCCCACUAGUAUCUAUUCCGCUUUACUUACAUCACCAUCCUCAUAGAGUAACUACUGGACAUCGUACAAAUUCAACUAUGCACCACUGAUAGUGAUAAUGGCUUUGAGCCUCAACAUGGUCGUUCGCCGUGUUAGAAAUAGCAGUAAAAUAACCCUCCAGUCACAUCCUAUUGUCUUAAGAGAGAGAGAAAAAAAAAGGAUACAUCGGAUAAUUUAGACAUAAUGUAACUAAAAAUAAAGAUCUAGUUAUGGCUGGAAUGUCUUUCAUCAUAGAUCGGGACUGAACUGACUUUAAACAACACUAACAGGAGAUGAAUCUGAUGUCCGAAAAAAAAACUCCGACUGUCCGUUAGCUGGAAAGUGCCCAGUGAUUUUAAGUUGCCUACUCUCCUAAGGUUAGUGAUCUUUUUAUUAAGCCUCAAUAGGUGACUUAAUACACUUUUACAGAAUUAAGGAAUUAAAAGUGAAACAUGCUGUAGAGAAAAACUGACAUUGCCAGUUAAUGUUCAGCAUGGCAGCUUUAGUCAAUGCUUGAGCAGAAUAAUGUUGAAAGGGAUCAGAAAUAGAGAUGAUAAACACAAUAGAGAAAAACACAGGAUGAUAAACACAGUAGAUCAGGCUAUAAAUGUGUUAAAACUUCUCAUGCAUAAAUUUACUGAACUGUAAGUUGGAGAAGGGAAACGAAAGGAGAAGAAAGAAGACAAACUGUGGCUAAAGUGCUCUGCCGAGCCAGAGUGUGUGCUAAGUAAAAAGGAGUAAAAAAAUAUAUAAAAAGAACCAACAAAAGAAGAAUUUAGGAAGAGAUAGAAUGAGGCUUUCAAUUAGCCAUGAAAGUAAAACAGUUUACAAUGCAUUUUAUACUCUGAACUCCAUAAGUGGGUAGUGGUGGGCAUAUUUUUGUGCAGUCUGUUGUCCUGGACUUUGCAAUUAAUCUUACUAGCAGUCAAAUACAAAGACUGGCAAGAAAAUAGCAGUUCUGCAAAAAUCUCUGGCAUUUGAAUUACAGCCACUGUUUUGAGUAGUUUGCAUUUAAGUGACAACUUUGAAAGAACAAACCAAUGUGAGCAGACAAAAGAAGCAAGAGAAUAUGAAGCUGGAAAUAAAUUCUAUGUAAAAUUA